RNAcentral lists this transfer RNA (700 nucleotides) under Geobacillus lituanicus. RNAcentral describes it as "partial 16S-23S ribosomal RNA intergenic spacer". The stretch from base 28 to 100 matches the Rfam family "tRNA". The record is from RNAcentral. Lineage: Bacteria; Bacillati; Bacillota; Bacilli; Caryophanales; Anoxybacillaceae.
GUUCAAGUCCACUUAGGCCCAUUGGAUGGGGCCUUAGCUCAGCUGGGAGAGCGCCUGCUUUGCAAGCAGGAGGUCAUCGGUUCGAUCCCGAUAGGCUCCACCAUAUCAAGGUAAGAGGUUUCAACGUAGUUGCUUUGCGUCUGCGUCUACAAGCGGAUUCGGAGAAGCUGAAUUCCUCGACGCAAACCAGCGAAGAAGCGAAUUCAAAGGAGCUACUUUGCGUCUGUGCCUGCGUCUGCUAGCAGGUUCAGGGAAGCAAGAUUCCUCGGCACAAAGCCGCAAGGAAGUUUGUUCAAAGAAGUCGCUUUGCGUCUACAAGCGGAUUCGGAGAAGCUGAAUUCCUCGACGCAAACCGGCGAAGAAGCGAAUUCAAAGGAGCUGCUUUGCGCCUUCGUCUUCUAGCAGGUUCAAGGAAGAUGGAUUCCUCGGCGCAAAGCUGCAAAGAAGCGAAUUCAAAGGAGCUACUUUGCAUCUGCGUCUUCUAGCAGAUUCGAGGAAGUGGGAUUCCUCGAUGCAAGACUGCAGAGAAGCAAAUUCAAGAAGCAGUCUCGUUCCUUGAAAACUAGAUAACCGGAAAAGCGGAGGCGAGCGUUUCGCCGCGAUGGGCAAAUGUUCUUCGCCUGGAGGGAUGUUCACAUCCCGAAGGCGAAGGUUAUUUGACCCCGAGCGGCGGCGAGCCGAAGCUAGACAGUAAGGAAGA